This 280-nucleotide ribosomal RNA is filed under the name Lachnospira eligens. Its description in RNAcentral is "partial 16S ribosomal RNA". It matches the Rfam family "Bacterial small subunit ribosomal RNA", at positions 497 to 776 of the family's 1533-position model. The record is from RNAcentral. Lineage: Bacteria; Bacillati; Bacillota; Clostridia; Lachnospirales; Lachnospiraceae.
UAUGGUGUGUGCCAGCAGCCGCGGUAAUACGUAUGGAGCAAGCGUUAUCCGGAUUUACUGGGUGUAAAGGGAGUGUAGGUGGCCAUGCAAGUCAGAAGUGAAAAUCCGGGGCUCAACCCCGGAACUGCUUUUGAAACUGUGAGGCUAGAGUGCAGGAGGGGUGAGUGGAAUUCCUAGUGUAGCGGUGAAAUGCGUAGAUAUUAGGAGGAACACCAGUGGCGAAGGCGGCUCACUGGACUGUAACUGACACUGAGGCUCGAAAGCGUGGGGAGCAAACAGG